RNAcentral lists this non-coding RNA (107 nucleotides) under Candidatus Chisholmiibacteriota. RNAcentral's name for it is "Candidatus Chisholmbacteria SAM-I sequence". It matches the Rfam family "SAM riboswitch aptamer (S box leader)". From Rfam's summary of the family: The SAM riboswitch is found upstream of a number of genes which code for proteins involved in methionine or cysteine biosynthesis in Gram-positive bacteria. The SAM riboswitch acts at the level of transcription termination control. The record is from RNAcentral.
AGCCAAUCAAGAGCGAUGGGGAGAGAGUUGGCUCGAUGAUCCAUCCGGCAACCGAUCUCAUAAGAGCUACGGUGCUAAACCCAACCCUGUAAAGGGAAGGAUUAGUC